This 543-nucleotide small RNA is filed under the name Pan troglodytes (chimpanzee). Its description in RNAcentral is "retained intron". Lineage: Eukaryota; Metazoa; Chordata; Mammalia; Primates; Hominidae. The record is from RNAcentral.
CAUUGCUGACCUCGACACCACCAUCAUGUUCGCCACUGCUGGCACGCUCAAUCGUGAGGGUACUGAAACUUUCGCUGACCACCGGUAAGACAGGAACUGGGCCUAAGGGAGGCAGACAGGUCGGGGCACGGGGCUGGAAGAGGCAGGAUAGCAUUCGCUGGAAUGGGAAAGACCUGGACCAGGCACCUUGGACGGGCUGGAGUGGGUAGGGGAGAUCUGACUAAGCUGGGCCCUCCCUCAGGGAGGGCAUCCUGAAGACUGCGAAGGUGCUGGUGGAGGACACCAAGGUCCUGGUGCAAAACGCAGCUGGGAGCCAGGAGAAGUUGGCGCAGGCUGCCCAGUCCUCCGUGGCGACCAUCACCCGCCUCGCUGAUGUGGUCAAGCUGGGUGCAGCCAGCCUGGGAGCUGAGGACCCUGAGACCCAGGUGGUACUAAUCAACGCAGUGAAAGAUGUAGCCAAAGCCCUGGGAGACCUCAUCAGUGCAACGAAGGCUGCAGCUGGCAAAGUUGGAGAUGACCCUGCUGUGUGGCAGCUAAAGAACU